UUGAACGCUGGCGGCAUGCCUUAACACAUGCAAGUCGAACGGCAGCACGGACUUCGGUCUGGUGGCGAGUGGCGAACGGGUGAGUAAUGUAUCGGAACGUACCUUUCAGUGGGGGAUAACGUAGCGAAAGUUACGCUAAUACCGCAUAUUCUGUGAGCAGGAAAGCAGGGGAUCGCAAGACCUUGCGCUGAUUGAGCGGCCGAUAUCAGAUUAGCUAGUUGGUGAAGGUAAAGGCUCACCAAGGCGACGAUCUGUAGCGGGUCUGAGAGGAUGAUCCGCCACACUGGAACUGAGACACGGUCCAGACUCCUACGGGAGGCAGCAGUGGGAAUUUGGACAAUGGGGGCAACCCUGAUCCAGCCAUGCCGCGUGAGUGAAGAAGGCCUUCGGGUUGUAAAGCUCUUUCGGCCGGGAAGAAAUCGCAUGGGCUAAUACCCUGUGCGGAUGACGGUACCGGCAUAAGAAGCACCGGCUAACUACGUG
RNAcentral lists this ribosomal RNA (483 nucleotides) under uncultured bacterium. Its description in RNAcentral is "bacterial SSU rRNA". It matches the Rfam family "Bacterial small subunit ribosomal RNA", at positions 30 to 507 of the family's 1533-position model. The record is from RNAcentral.